Molecule: long non-coding RNA, 772 nt
Filed under: Mytilus galloprovincialis (Mediterranean mussel)
Lineage: Eukaryota; Metazoa; Mollusca; Bivalvia; Mytilida; Mytilidae
Source: RNAcentral
UUUCAUUGAAAUAACAUCUUUAGAAUCUUUCAAAUAAGAUUAUUUUGGCUUGAUAAACUUCAUUGAUUUAAAAGGAAUAAUACACAUUAGUGUUUAUUAUGCAUUUUAUAGUUACGGAGACUAAUUCAAACAAUCAAAGAAUUAUGUUAUGAUAGGUGCUGCUGUCAAGAUAAUAAAUGUAUUAUAUAUAGUUAACUAUACACAUUUCGAAUGUUUACAUUUUUGAAAAAACUACAUUUAUGACAAUUUUGCUGCACAUUAAAAAAAACAGAACAAAACUUCAGAAGUUGGUCGAUGAGACUGCUCUUCAUCUUUUAUAUAAGUUUUGGAUUUUACAUAUAUAACACGAGCAUCGCUGAAGAGACAUGUAUUAUCGAAAUGCGCAUCUGGUGCAGAACAAUUGGUACCUUUAAUGUUAUUGGACUGAUUUGAGAUAUAUCUUCUUAUCAUAAUACAUGUAACAUAAUACGAUUGAUUUUAUCCCUAGUUCGUUAACUUUUUUAAUUGGUUCUAGGCUACUUAUUACGGGCAAUGUUUUGUAAUUGCGUUUUCAAAACAACAGAUGCUUUACGCGUUGUUAAGGGAUGUAGUAUAACUCAAAUAUUUUUGUGCAUUUAAGUUCAAUGUGGAGUUGUAAUUUUACUGCUAAAUCCUAAGAGUUGUUGUUGUUUUCUUUUUUGGACGAUUUGUUUACAAUGUUAAAGACUUCCAUUACAAAACCAAAGAGGAAGUAAAAUUAAACAAUUCUUGAAUAUUAUAAAAGAAAUCUUUA